GACGAACGCUGGCGGCGUGCCUAAUACAUGCAAGUAGAACGCUGAAGAGAGGAGCUUGCUCUUCUUGGAUGAGUUGCGAACGGGUGAGUAACGCGUAGGUAACCUGCCUUGUAGCGGGGGAUAACUAUUGGAAACGAUAGCUAAUACCGCAUAACAAUGGAUGACACAUGUCAUUUAUUUGAAAGGGGCAAUUGCUCCACUACAAGAUGGACCUGCGUUGUAUUAGCUAGUAGGUGAGGUAAUGGCUCACCUAGGCGACGAUACAUAGCCGACCUGGGAGGGUGAUCGGCCACACUGGGACUGAGACACGGCCCAGACUCCUACGGGAGGCAGCAGUAGGGAAUCUUCGGCAAUGGGGGCAACCCUGACCGAGCAACGCCGCGUGAGUGAAGAAGGUUUUCGGAUCGUAAAGCUCUGUUGUAAGUCAAGAACGGGUGUGAGAGUGGAAAGUUCACACUGUGGCGGUAGCUUACCAGAAAGGGACGGCUAACUACGUG
Molecule: ribosomal RNA, 497 nt
Filed under: uncultured bacterium
Lineage: Bacteria
Description: partial 16S ribosomal RNA
Rfam family: Bacterial small subunit ribosomal RNA
Source: RNAcentral